This 6827-nucleotide long non-coding RNA is filed under the name Coffea arabica (coffee). RNAcentral's name for it is "long non-coding RNA (CARA_LNC003581)". The record is from RNAcentral. Lineage: Eukaryota; Viridiplantae; Streptophyta; Magnoliopsida; Gentianales; Rubiaceae.
ACUUCUUUUUUUUUUUUUUUUUUUUUUUUUUAUAAAAAUACCGAAGGGGUUGACUUCACAAGCUGUUGCAAUGUUGAAAAUAGUUGAAUUUCUUGCUAACAAUGAUGGCAUUUUCCUUUCCAAAAUGUAUCUUAAUCAAUUGUUACCAAGAUUUGAUCCUAUAAUUAUGCAUGUCAAUGUCUAGUGAUGGUAAAUCGGUCUGCACUCUUGUAUUCCUAAACAAAGUCGUUACCAAGGAGGAAAAAAAACAAGAUUCAUGGUGUUUUUGUUUCUUAUUUUUGAAAUUUACGAGUUGGGAUUUAAAAACCAUAUAGAGAUUGAUCUUGAAUAAAACCCAGAUUUUUGUCGAAACAGAAAGGUUUGGUUUCUCAAGAACAUUAAACAUUAAUUGAAGAAUAUUGGUAGCACAAUCUCACGAUCUUGAUCUUCCUUUGUGGAGCCACCAAUGCCAAGUGUUAAAAAUAAGCACGUCAUAACCCCUCCAUGCAUCCCCAUUUUGUAUGGAGUCAAGCUUCAGAAUUCUUCUGUUAUUCUCUUCCACCAAAUCCACCAGAAAUGCGUUACGAGAUAGCAUCAAAGAAACAUCAUAUUCCUGCCAUCAUUCACGUAAUGUGGAUUAAUUAAUUAAUCAAUGGAAGAGUCUGCUUUUCUUGCACUAAAUGAUCAAAGCUAAAAAGGCAUGCAUGAGAUCAAAAAUUAAUAGAUGAGCCUACAUAAAAUCAGAGAAACUCACCCUGAAAGUAAAAGUAGAGAGGUUGCCUUUCUUUUGAAGAUUGUAAUUUGAUUGGGGCAGAGCUGCGUGCAACAUGCAUGCAAGGGACUGCCAUUGAUUGAGGCUCAGUGAAUCCCCUACGAACAAUAUCUUCUUCCCUCUAAAUUUCCUCAAGAAAUGUGGAGCAUUAAAUCUGCAUUUAAAAAAAAAAACAUGAAGGUUACAUUCUUGGCCUUCCUUAUCUAAUUAUCAAAUUAAAUGUCAAACUUAAAAAUGGUACUAAAUGUGAUCACCACAAAAAUAAAACACUUUUAUAGUUGAAACAUUAAAUUUUUUUUUUUGGGUUUUUUGGAAUUGGCGAUCAUCAAGCCGGGAUGGGAUGAGGAUUUAAAAUUCAACAUCUAUUUUGUGCUUAGUGCACGUAACGCCUUACCAACUGUGCUAACUCUUACAACAAAAGAUAUCCCUUUCUCCUUGGGUAUACUAUUCUACAAACCGUAAACUAUAAUGAAACGUACUGAGGCAAUUCACAUCGGUUGGGCUUCCAUUUGAACUUGAGAUAGAGUUGAUCAGGGCGGCCAUUUCCCUGGCAAUCAAAUGGCUUCUCGAUGAAUGGACAAGAAGACGCAUUGUAAAGGGGAUAUGUGUCAUCGUAGCUCCAACUUCCUUGGAAGAUAUCGCAGCCGCUGCUAAUUGAUUCUGAUGAUCUCUUAGAGUUAUGAGAAAGCUCUAGCAACAAGGCAUUGGAUGAUUGUUGAACAAAUAUGACAAAAAGACAUAUAAUUAGAAGAAAAGUAUUCACAGAACGAAAUUGACCACUUCCCAUCUUGUGAGAAGAAAAGGAGUGAGAUGAGGUGAGGGAACUUAAGGGAGAAUGCAGCAUGAUGAAGCUUUUAAUGAAGAAAACAAAGGCCAUAUAAGAUGAGUUUGAUAGGCUGUUAGUUGGUGCCUGGUGGUGUUUGAGUUGUUAGAUUGAAUGGCUUGGGGAGGGGAAAUCUGCAAUUUUUUUUUUUUUUUAUUGGUUUGGGGUUGAUUCCCCAGCCUGUUUUGCUCCUUUUGGCAGCUGAACUUAUUGGUGGGAGCUGUGUCCUUGCAGUGGAGUAUACUCCUUUUUAUCCAUCAUUCCUCCUCCAUGAUUGUUUCAGUUUCAAAUCUAGUCUUCUACGGAAAGCCUUCUUUCCUCUAUUUCCGGUUUGCUUGCUCAAAGAAACAAGGGAGGCCCAAAGCUUGUUGAAACAAUGGCAACAACAUCGCUAAGAUAAAAAACAGAUGACAAUUAAUAUCGGUUUCGUCUGGAAGGUAACGGGUUCGAAACCUUAAAGUUGUGAAGUUAAUGUUAUAUUCCUGUUCUGUUUCUUCAUUAUUCAGUUUAAAGCUAGUUAAUUUGACACCACAUUUAUUGUUUCUGUAGUUCUUUUACAUACUUUUGUUUGAUCAUAAUUUUGCCUGUUACAUUAGCCAGAAGUUUGACUGUUACACUUUAACAUGAAAAUGGGGUCCCAUAUUUCUCCUAAUUACGAAGGCAUAUAAUAUGCUGUUUGUGGUUUGACCCGUAAUGAAACCCCCGGUGUUGAAUAAUAUUCAUGGAGGGGGGAAAAAUGGCAGAAGUAGCUAGGAAACGACUAACUACACCGUUUGGAUUGCUGUUUUAUGGAGUUUUUAUAGAAAAAUAUACUAUAAUGAUUUGCUGUAUGUGAGGUAAAAAAAUGAAUUUACGAAAAUUUUUUUGAGAAAAAUAACAAUCCAAACCAAAAAAAGGGAUAUUUGACUAUCUAAAUAAAAAAAAUGUACCGUAAUGAAUUGAUAUAUGAACAUCCGAUCACCAAAAAAAAAAGGAGAUAUCUACUAAAAUUUGCAAAAGACAAAUAUGAUGCUAAUCUUUUGUCAAGUCAUACCCACCGAGCAUUAUUGCAGUAACUUUCACUGGUCCCAUGCAUACGUAGACUACAUAAUGUAACAUCUAAGUAAGGAAGAAAACAAAUUAUCCAAAUGUGACUCAAUCAAUUCAACUAAAAAACUAGUUCUACUUCUCCAUGAAAUAUACUGUAUGUUUGCAUAGAAUAGCAACAUUACAUAGACGUUCUUGCAUGAUCAUGUUCAAUCAAACUUGUAUUUCUACUAUUAAUUUUUAGUCCAAAUUUAUUGUAGUAAGAAUGAUAUGAUAUCAAAAUGGCUAAUGGCUACUGAAGUAAUCAAAGAAUAAGAAGAUUGUAGAGUAGCAGAUUCCAGGUAUCAGGAACUCCAGGAAGACACCAGUGGCUGCAGUCCAUUCCCCCAGUGGCUGCGCCAAGCCCAUAAAUAGAAGGAUGUCCAUCUUUUCGCAGCAGCGAAAGGUUUGUAAUAUCCAGCAAUUUCACUGGCUUCUUUAUUGUGUUGAGUACUCUCUUUAGCACUGUUAGAGCUGGUGGUAGUCCUGCUGGAUAUCUUGAGCCCACCACCGGCUCUUUCUGUCUCACGCAACUUUUGGCCGUCGGUUCAUUCCAAUCAGUUCCACUUUACAUUAUUAAUCAAAGACCGUUUUCAAUUGGCAAAACAAGAUAGUUAGAUUAAGAAUGUAAAGUGACAAAUUCAAGACUGCAUUUUUAGACUAUGACCCUCCAAAAUAUGCUACUCAAUUGGCAAAAUCGUAAAUUACUUAGUAAAGCUAAAUCAAGAUUUCUGAAAUUUCUAAACUGAUACAUGCAUAUGUUUGGCAGCUUCUUCUGGGAUUUCCAUUAGAAAUACUUACUUGUAGUGUGAGGGAGAAAUUCCUUGGAAGAAAACAGUAGUUUUGGCAGGAUCAAUAUUGUCAUCCACCCACUUAGCCCAAGUAUUGAGUGCCAUCUCGAAGGCAACCAUCCGAUCCAUGUCUUUGAAUGUCUGAUUUCCAACUCGAAUGUAAUCCCAUCUGAGCAGUAUAUUUUCACAAAUGACAUAAAUUUCAUCAAUGUUUUGUGUUUGCUCAUCAUUUAUCACAGAAUAGUCGAACACCAUGGAGUAUAUUGUAUGAACUUACGGUUGUCCUUCACCUCUACGGUUCCACCAAUGCCAUGUGUUAAAGAUUAUUACGUCUAAGCCUUUCCACAGCUUUCCACCCUCAAUUGAAUCUAGGUUUAGUAUCCUGCCAGUUUUUUCCAUCACAACAUCUACCAGGUACACAUUUCUGUCUAGCAUAAUUUUUACUCCAAAAUCCUGCAACAUACAUGUAUUUACCAAGGGAAAAAAAAUCCAAAUGUGAUUCAAAAACAACACUUAAAAAUAAUUAAAAUAUGAUUAGCAAUCACAUGAGAGGUUGGCUAAAAUGAAUAUUCACUGCAGAAAUAAAGAAAAUGCAACUUUCCUUUAAAUUUGGAUCGCUAUUUUCCACCAAAAUUUUUUUGGGUUUUCCGUAAACACAUUUUCAUUUGCCUUUUUUACCUUACAUGUAUCAAAUUAUUGUAAUCUGCAAAAAUAAGGAAAAUGCAAAUUUCCUUUAAAUUUGGAGUGCAAUUUUCCACCAAAAAAUUUUUGGAUUCUCCGUGAGCCUGUUUUUCAAUUACCGUUUUAUCUUACAUACAUCAAAUCAUUACAGUAUAUUUUUCUAUAAAAUUUCCUAAAAAAACAAUCCAAACGGGUUCCAAGGCGAUAAAUACAUGUCGCCACAAGACAUACACUCCAAGAAAUUUUCUGGAUUAGUACACAUUCUAAGUCCCAAGUUCUGUACAUCACAAUUUUUUUUUUUGUUGCUAAAUUGGAAACCUCACUUAAUCAAAAGGAGACAAAUUUAAAGGGGUUGUCAGCUUGGGAUAAAGAUUAAAAUUCUGAGGAAUUAAAUUCAUCCCACAACCGCAUAUUAUUACAAGUUAAUAAUUGACUGAUUUAAUAAGAGGUUUCUGGCACCUAUAUUUAAUAUGGGCAUUUAACUGAUUUAAUAUGAGGUUUCUGGCACCUAUAUUAAUAGCCAAGGGUUAUGGGACAAGCAUGUGAUAAGAAAAAGACCCAUCUGGCAAUGCCAGCAUUUUCUUCUGUAAUUGAUGUCUGAUUUAAAUCAAUUCUUGCAGUCAUAUCCAGAAGACCAACUGUUCAUAUUGGACUUGGGAUGGAGGACCACAACAUUUCUUGUUUCCUUUAUUUUCUCAAUUUAGUAUUGUUGAGGUCCUUUAGUCAAAAUAGAAUUUCACGUGACAUUGGACAUUCCUUGAUCUUGAUCUGUACCAGUACCUCCUAUUACUGUUCUUAUACACACAUGAGUCGAUCCAAGAAACCCCAAAUUAUCUGAUGGGCAAAUUCAUUUUUACAUCAAUGAAAUCAUUAUUGAAAUUGUGGAUGAUGGAUGAUAAUUAUUAAUUCAUUCAGUCAAAUUGGUAAUUUACCAAAUUUGUUUCGUGAAAAUAAGAGCUUAUCCUAUCCAAUUGGAAAACUUCAAGAUAUAAUUGAAAAACUUUGAAUUUUUCAAGAAAGCAAAAUGCUGCAAUUGAAUAUGUCAUGUGAAUCAAGCAAUUACCAUGAAGGUGAAAAUGGAGACGUCUCCUACUCUGGUUUCAUUGUACUUUGUCCUACCGACGGAGGUGUAAAGCAUGCAAAUUAGUGAUUGCCACUGGUUUAGGCUCAAUGAAUCACCGACAAACAUGACGCUUUUCCCCUUGAAUUUCUGCAUGAACUCACGACCAUCAAAUCUGCAACCAACAAUGUCACAUUAUGAAUCACGAAUGACAUUAAGAAAAACAUGGCAAAAUUGAAUCAAAUAUUUGGACCGAAGCACUCAUGGUGUUUAAAGAGAAUCGACUUUUAUAUUCAAAAUUGUUACAGUAUAUUUUUGUACAAAAAUUUUAGAAAAUAACAAUCCAAACGGUCUCAUUUUAAUACAUUUUGUUUGUACUUAACGGGCUAGUAAUAUUCAAGGGAAGAAGUAUAAAAAAGGGAAGUGGAAUUGAUAAUUGUGGACCGAAAAAGAAUUGCUAGUGAGGUAAGAAAGUGAUGUUGUUGGUGACCCGAGAGUCGUCAAAUUGUUAUGAUUAGUUUAGCACCAAACUUGAUUAUGUUUUAGUAUGUGAUUCACAUUGAGCCAAGAAUUCCAAAACUGCGGCUAACAUAGGGCACAGGAAUAAUGCUACAAGACAUUCUACCUUGUAAGAUGUGAUUCAAUGAAUAAUAAUAACCUAUCUAAUUCAUUUCCUUCCCACGUGAAUAAGAGCCGGAAUUCACAAGGAUCCCAUCUCACCGUUCUCUACCUAUAAUCAAUGAGUAAUUUUUCUUGACAAGUAAUAUGCAAUUAGAUUAGACAAUAACCUUCAUUUUGUCCCACUAAUCUAACUCUUCUGGUAGAUAUAAGUUUGUUAAUCACCUAGUAUAGUAAUUUAUUUGCCUUUCUGUAAAUGCAGGGAGAGAAGAAUCCUAUAGCCAAUGGCUGUCAAGCAUUGGUUUAAUUGUUUUCUUGGAGAUUCCCAUCAGGUGAUCAUUGCUGUUACCACUUGAUUGGUGUUACACAAUAUAAGAGGUACAAUCACAAAAAAGUUUCUACCCUAAUCAAUCUUAUGGUCACAUGAGGCGCAUAACUCAUAUAGUGACAAUUUGGUUCUUGACAGUUGGGUCAUACAUAAUCUGCCUAACUAAACAACUCAAAACUAACAUGCCAUCUUAACUUACUUAAUCAAAGUUGGCAGAAAAAUUAGUGCAAGCAAUUAGAGGUAGAUUUAGAACUUAGCACUAUCCCAUGAAUACCAUGUAAUUACAUUCUUAAUUAGUUAUACUGAUUCAAACUGCAUAUGCCAACCCCAUUUCUCUAUGCUGAUGUACAAGAAAGGCAGGAUUAAGAUGAGCUAAUAAAUGGUCGACCUUUACUUAAUAUGUUGUGAGGAAGAAAUAUGGCACAUAUGGUUUUAAUAUUCUGCAGACUAAGUCUGAGCAGCUUUAUGGUGCUGCAGAAACUUAAUGAGCCACUGCACAGUAGUAGCGGUCUGUAAUGAUAAUACUGAAAGGGACAGCAACAAAACACCCAAAAUUUCAUAAAAGAUGGGAAAAGAAGACUAAUGAUCAGAGAUAUGCACAGGUAGAAGAGCUCAGACCUUGCUAAUUGGCAGUCCAGGGGUUGCCACCGGUAUUUAAGGUACAUUUGGUCGGGCCUGCCGUUCUUCAAGCAGUUGAAUUCUUUCUGUAU